GUCUUGUGAGUAUACUCUGUACGCCUGAUUUCCAAUCAGGAGGAUUGUCCUAGGGCAAACAAGAUA
Molecule: transfer RNA, 66 nt
Filed under: Ophiura sarsii
Lineage: Eukaryota; Metazoa; Echinodermata; Ophiuroidea; Amphilepidida; Ophiuridae
Description: tRNA-Gly
Source: RNAcentral